Molecule: long non-coding RNA, 381 nt
Organism: Canis lupus familiaris (dog)
Lineage: Eukaryota; Metazoa; Chordata; Mammalia; Carnivora; Canidae
Exons: 3
Source: RefSeq, a predicted model, not a curated record
UCGGCGUCAGCUCUGCGUGGCUCUGAGUACUGUGGCCAGGACUUGGCACUAUUCACUGGAAGGUAGCAACAGGAUAGGACGUGGAUGAGAGCCUGUUAAAAUAUCCAAAGAAGUUUCUUUCUAGAGGCCAGGAAGUCUGAGAUCAAGUGCCAGCAUAAUUGGGGUCUGCCCUAGAAGUUUACAGCUGUUCUGGUAACUCACAAGUGGCAGUGUGAAGUCAGCAAUGGUCACAGCUCUGAAUGCGACACUAAUUCAAGUCAACAGAAGACCCUAUUAAGCCUGAAAGAGACAGAGGAGAUACAGGAAGUAUAGUAAGUUAGAGAGGUGAGACUUUAUAUUCAAUCUGAAAUCCUGCCACGGAGAGGGAGUUAUUCAAUAAAG